RNAcentral lists this ribosomal RNA (447 nucleotides) under uncultured Rhodococcus sp. RNAcentral describes it as "bacterial SSU rRNA". It matches the Rfam family "Bacterial small subunit ribosomal RNA", at positions 936 to 1382 of the family's 1533-position model. Lineage: Bacteria; Bacillati; Actinomycetota; Actinomycetes; Mycobacteriales; Nocardiaceae. The record is from RNAcentral.
AGCAUGUGGAUUAAUUCGAUGCAACGCGAAGAACCUUACCUGGGUUUGACAUACACCGGAAAACCGUAGAGAUACGGUCCCCCUUGUGGUCGGUGGUACAGGUGGUGCAUGGCUGUCGUCAGCUCGUGUCGUGAGAUGUUGGGUUAAGUCCCGCAACGAGCGCAACCCUUGUCUUAUGUUGCCAGCACGUGAUGGUGGGGACUCGUAAGAGACUGCCGGGGUCAACUCGGAGGAAGGUGGGGACGACGUCAAGUCAUCAUGCCCCUUAUGUCCAGGGCUUCACACAUGCUACAAUGGCCAGUACAGAGGGCUGCGAGACCGUGAGGUGGAGCGAAUCCCUUAAAGCUGGUCUCAGUUCGGAUCGGGGUCUGCAACUCGACCCCGUGAAGUCGGAGUCGCUAGUAAUCGCAGAUCAGCAACGCUGCGGUGAAUACGUUCCCGGGCCUU